GACGAACGCUGGCGGCGUGCUUAACACAUGCAAGUCGAACGGAAAGGCCCUGCUUUUGUGGGGUGCUCGAGUGGCGAACGGGUGAGUAACACGUGGGUAACCUGCCCUGGACUUUGGGAUAACUUCAGGAAACUGGGGCUAAUACCGGAUAGGAGCUCCUGCUGCAUGGGGGUGGUGGGAAAGUUUCGGCGGUUGGGGAUGGACUCGCGGCUUAUCAGCUUGUUGGUGGGGUAGUGGCUUACCAAGGCUGUGACGGGUAGCCGGCCUGAGAGGGUGACCGGCCACAUUGGGACUGAGAUACGGCCCAGACUCCUACGGGAGGCAGCAGUGGGGAAUAUUGCACAAUGGGCGGAAGCCUGAUGCAGCAACGCCGCGUGCGGGAUGACGGCCUUCGGGUUGUAAACCGCUUUCGCAUGUGACGAAGCGUGAGUGACGGUAAUGGGUAAAGAAGCACCGGCUAACUACGUG
Molecule: ribosomal RNA, 468 nt
Filed under: uncultured bacterium
Lineage: Bacteria
Description: partial 16S ribosomal RNA
Rfam family: Bacterial small subunit ribosomal RNA
Source: RNAcentral